Molecule: long non-coding RNA, 952 nt
Organism: Myotis daubentonii (Daubenton's bat)
Lineage: Eukaryota; Metazoa; Chordata; Mammalia; Chiroptera; Vespertilionidae
Source: RefSeq, a predicted model, not a curated record
CCACCCUGGGUCAGGACACCUUAUCCAGCAGGUGGUGGAUGGAAUGUCUACAACAGCUUCUUGGUUUCUGGUUUGUGCCAUAGAGGGAGGUGGGGCCCCCAGAGAGAGGGGACACUAGAGAAUCAUUAGGUUUGGGGGACGAUCUGGACAUCUCCGGGUUUUGCUGUUUUCCUAGGUUGGAAGGAAGGGAAGGGCAGCUUUUGGCCUGAGAUCAUGGGACCUUGGGCAAUGAUGUCACCUCCUGGGUUUCAGUCUUUCGUCUGAAGAAGAGUCUGGUGAGCUGAUCUCUAGCCCCCAAGCAUGCUCCACAUUCUCUGACAACGACCCUGCCCUGCCGCUGGCUGCUGCAUCCUGAACGCUUGACCCAUCUCUCAGAGCAAGAACGAGACUGUUGCUCCAUCAGUGGCUCCUCAGUAUCCAGCAAAGCACAAGCGUGUGGUUCCAGCUGCUUUCUGGGCCCAUCAGGGAGUCUGAGCUCUUUUCCUUCCUGGGCACUGCCUGGCCAGGUGCCGACUGCUCACGCCCCUGCAGAACUCAUCGCCUGGGCCUGGCCGGUUGCAGAGGCUUCUCACACCCCAGAAGCCUCUCCUUUCGAGGAGUCCCUUCCUGCUGUGACGGCUUCACCGGGAGAGGGCUCCAUGCUGUGCUGGGCUCCAGCCGUGGGAGCCCGAGCAAAGGAAAGACCAGCGCUGCGGGUCCUGUCUUUAUUCCACAAUUUGAUAUCGAAGUCCUCCAUCCCGGAUAUUUUGCAUUAGUUUUGAUUUUUAAAAACAUUGCAUUAAAAUACAAUUUGCCUGGGCUACUGAGGGCCUUUUGAAGGCAGAUGUUUUACACUUUACACCCCAGGCAGACGCAGAGAGAAAGGGGCCCCGGGAUCGGGAUCGCCCUGGGGUGGGGAAUGAAUGUGAAUUCUCCCCUGCAGGGGUGGCUUUGGAGUCUGCUGGGUGCGGCU